CUAGAUAUUACUAUAAGCUUUCCCAAAACAACCGUGGCCUAAUCAAUUAAAUGUGACCGGUAAAAAAAAAAGCGCGAUACUCUAAGCUUUGGCGCAAUCUGAAAAUCCGAUUGUAAUAGAAUUGAAAUAUUGAAAAAAGAAACUCGGUGCUUGAAUUUUUCACACAUGAUUAGAAGGAUUUCAUCGAAUUACCUAUUCUUCGCGUUAGGGUUUCUGCUUUCCACCGCAAUCCCCUUCGCUGACGGUGAAUCAUCCACGUGCUUGACGGUUUACAAAAACGGCGGUGCUCCGGCGGUGUUCCAAUCCCCGAAAUGCCCUCGCUGGAGACUCUUCGAUUACGAUUCUUCUCCUCGAACUGCAACGCGUUGUCAAUCUUCGAUGCUCCAGGGUCGAAGAAAAUCACAAGAGGAUCGCACUCUCUGUGUACUCGAUGUUCGCAUUCCAUUCCCCGGUACGAUGGGGAUCAGGGAGGUUGUAGUUGGAAUUGUGGCGGUUUUCGAUGGACAUAACGGUGCUGAAGCUAGUGAGAUGGCGUCAAAACUUUUGAUGGAGUAUUUUGUUCUGCAUACUUAUUUUCUUCUUGAUGCAAUGUAUUCUGUUGUAUCAAAGACUUCCACAGGAAAAUUGCUUCACAGGCGAGACCAUGAUCACGGAAACUUAUUGCAUAGGUGGAAAGAGAUUUUAGGUUGGCAAUGGCAUGAACUGCAUUCUGAAAGGUUGCGGAAUGUAUUUUCUGCUAAUUUUGAUGAUUCUUUUCACUUGGAAAUUUUGAAGGAAGCAUUGUUGAGAGCAAUCCAUGAUAUUGAUGUAAGGUUUUCUGAGGAAGCCUCUAGAAAUAACAUUCAUUCAGGAUCUACAGCAACAGUUGUAUUGGUUGCAGAUGAUAAGUUUUUGGUUGCCAAUAUUGGGGAUUCUAAGGCUUUCUUGUGCUCUGAAAAUUUUCAGUCUCCUAAGGAAGCUAAAGCCUCCUUAUUAGAGCUAUAUAGGCAGACAGAGCGUGAUGGUUCUGUUUCUGUGUGGGAUCGUGAAAAGUAUAGAUUAGCUUCUUCCCACGGGCUCAAUCAUUUUGCAGUGAAGGAAUUGACUAGGGAUCACCAUCCAGACAGAGAGGAUGAAAGAAAUCGGGUGGAAGCUGCUGGUGGUCAAGUUCUAAAUUGGGGUGGUUUGCCUCGCGUAAAUGGUCAGCUGGCCAUUACACGAGCUAUUGGUGAUGUGUUAUUUAAAAGUUAUGGAGUUAUAUCUGCACCAGAAGUGACUGAUUGGCAGCCUCUAACUGCUAAUGAUAGCUACUUGGUGGCUGCAUCUGAUGGGGUCUUUGAGAAGUUGAGUGUGCAAAAUGUCUGUGAUUUGUUGUGGGAUGUACACCGUAUUAGGGACAUGAGAUCAGAGUGCACCUCUUCAUCUUCCUAUUCAUUAGCAGAUUUAAUUAUUGAUGCUGCCUUUGAAAAGGGCAGUAUGGACAAUAUGGCAGCAGUUGUUGUUCCUCUGGAAUCGGCCAACUCUUCUGGGAACUCGCUUAGAAGAAGCUACACUGAAAAUGGUGAUACAGGUUUCCCAUUAUUUGGUCUGCAGGAAUCUGCUUACAGAAGCUCAGCUAAUGAUAUCACUUCCGAUCUAUUGCACCUGGAGCGCACCCGUCUGCAAGAUACCAAGUUUAAGCGAAUAUUGGUUGAAGUGAAACAUGGUGAUUUUGGAUGUUUUUAUUUAGCAGAAAAUCUUGAUGAUUCAGUGGAAUCUAAAUGGCCGGCCAAAAAAGAUGACUGGGAAAACUAUUUGUAUGAACUACCCCAGCCUCUACCAAACGGCUUUCAUCAACAAGCUGAAGUAGAUGGCCCUAUAAUUUUGUACAGCGACCAAAACUUCUGCUUUUAUCUGAGUUCAACUAUCAAUGAUGCCAAAGACCAAUGCAUAAAUCCUGAAGGCUUUGCCAGUUUUAUUGGUCUUCUUGAAUCAAUUCCUUUACAUGAUACAGGUUCAGAUAAUGCUUCUUCUGACUAUUCGAUGCCUGAUUCAAGGUAUGUACUAAGGAGGAGUUUUGGUCGUGGAUCAUAUGGUGAAGUAUGGUUGGCUUUUCAUUGGAAUUGUAAUCAAGGUAAUAUUACUGCAGAAAUGAGCAAGGGCGACAAUAAUAGGAACAGAAGCUCAAGUAAUCCUGAGUGUCAGGAUGGUCCUUCUAACUACACCCUGUACAUUUUGAAACGUAUAAUGGUAGAGAAAGGGUCUGCUGUGUACUUAAGUGGACUGAGGGAAAAAUAUUUUGGCGAAAUUUUCUUAAAUGCCUCUAUGUGCUAUGAAGAUGUGCUAUUGGGUGGAAAAUCAAACUGUGUAUUUGAAACAUCACAAUAUGAUUCUGAGUAUUCAUUUCAAGACAAAUUUCGACUGCACGGUGCCAUAUAUGAAGAAGGUUUGAACCAUAUUGCAAGAUAUGUGGAAUCUUUUGAGUCUCGGUCCAAUGAAAUAUGGCUUGUAUUCAGUUAUGAAGGAGUGUCAUUGUCAAAGCUUUUAUAUACUGUAGAAGAUGCAAACAAUACAGCUGAGAAAGAAAGACUUGAGCAAGUGAAACAAGUUCAGAUACUACAUCCAUCAAAGUGGUGGCGUUGGGUGAAAACCACAGAAGAAGGGCAAGAAGAAAUGCGCAACCUUAUCUGGCAACUGUUGUUGGCACUCAAGUCUUGUCACGACCGCAAUAUCACACACAGAGACAUUAAACCUGAGAAUAUGGUGAUAUGCUUUGAAGAUCCGGAGUCAGGGAGAUGCUUGAAAGACACUCCAACAAAAGUUAAUAGUUUUUCCACCAAAAUGCGUAUUAUUGACUUUGGAAGUGGAAUUGACGAAUUCACAAUAAAGCAUUUGUAUGCUUCUACUGGGCCUACUAGAGCUGAACAAACUUACGAGUACACACCUCCUGAAGCCUUGCUAAAUGCUACAUGGUAUCAAGGGUCAACAAGCUCAAAUUUGAAGUAUGACAUGUGGAGUGUUGGUGUUGUGAUGUUAGAGAUGGUCUUAGGGACACCUAAUAUUUUCCAGAUAAAUGCUUUUACACGUGCUCUUUUGGACCGCCAUCUUGAGGGCUGGAACGAUGGUGUGAAGGAGCUGGCAUACAAAUUUAGAUCAUUCAUGGAAUUGUGCAUCUUAAUCCCUGGGGUUUCUGGCAGUUACUCAAAAAAGUAUCACAAAGCUAAUCAAGUUGGAGUUUCGCCUGCAUCCUGGAAAUGCUCUGAAGACUUCUUUUCUAAACAAAUUAAGGCUAGAGAUCCUCUUAAAAUAGGUUUUACAAACAUUUGGGCUUUACGGUUAGUGCGCCAUCUGCUACAAUGGGACCCGGAGGACCGGCCAAGUGUUGAUGAGGCACUGCGGCAUCCCUAUUUCCAACCUCCGCCAAGAGGAUAAUUUUACAGAUGAAACAACAGGUGUCUUGCACUGAAUAUUCAUUCUAGAGAAAUUGGAAUUUUCAUAUUGAUGCAGAUUUCUGUGUGAAAAAGGACAAUAAGCUACAUUCUGCAAAGACAUGGCGUUAUCAAGCUGACACUAUUCACGUGUCAAAUUGAAUGAAAUUAGGUACUUCAGAAUCCAUGUCAUACCUGCUACCAGUGCGAUACGGUUAAUUACUCAGAAUGCAAUAAAAAUAAUUUUUAAAAUUAAAAAAAAAAUGGAUAGAUCAUUUGGGGUACAUGUGAGUACCUUUUGAAUAACUUGUAGCUGGUUCUGUAUAUAUCUUUGUACCGUAAAAAAUUAUAAAUUUAGAUUCUUUCUUUUUUUAUCAUGUAUCAUGUUGAUACUGUUUUCAUAUUGUGUAUAUUAUUUCUCUAUUUCUGCUUUAUAAAUAACAUUUCUGCGACUUCUAUUUUA
RNA transcript from Lathyrus oleraceus (garden pea), 3849 nucleotides. It is a transcript of the gene named probable inactive protein kinase At3g63330, with no coding region annotated. NCBI's taxonomy places the organism in Eukaryota, Viridiplantae, Streptophyta, Magnoliopsida, Fabales, Fabaceae. The transcript has 21 exons. The record is from RefSeq and is a predicted model, not a curated record.